AUACUCUACAAAUAGAGUUCGUGAUAAGACUAGACUACGAGUCGUUCUUCUGGAGUUAUUUGCAGUUUUACCUCAUUGUAAAGUAGGAGGCUGUGAUGAUCUUAUGUAACAGAGUCAGUGUUGUAAUUCUAUAGACAUGCCUUGGACC
This is a non-coding RNA of Lolium perenne, 148 nucleotides long. The record is from RefSeq and is a predicted model, not a curated record. NCBI's taxonomy places the organism in Eukaryota, Viridiplantae, Streptophyta, Magnoliopsida, Poales, Poaceae.